ACCUUCGGGCCUCUUGCCAUCGGAUGUGCCCAGAUGGGAUUAGCUAGUAGGUGGGGUAAAGGCUCACCUAGGCGACGAUCCCUAGCUGGUCUGAGAGGAUGACCAGCCACACUGGAACUGAGACACGGUCCAGACUCCUACGGGAGGCAGCAGUGGGGAAUAUUGCACAAUGGGCGCAAGCCUGAUGCAGCCAUGCCGCGUGUAUGAAGAAGGCCUUCGGGUUGUAAAGUACUUUCAGCGGGGAGGAAGGGAGUAAAGUUAAUACCUUUGCUCAUUGACGUUACCCGCAGAAGAAGCACCGGCUAACUCCGUGCCAGCAGCCGCGGUAAUACGGAGGGUGCAAGCGUUAAUCGGAAUUACUGGGCGUAAAGCGCACGCAGGCGGUUUGUUAAGUCAGAUGUGAAAUCCCCGGGCUCAACCUGGGAACUGCAUCUGAUACUGGCAAGCU
This 448-nucleotide ribosomal RNA is filed under the name Escherichia coli. Its description in RNAcentral is "bacterial SSU rRNA". It matches the Rfam family "Bacterial small subunit ribosomal RNA", at positions 199 to 642 of the family's 1533-position model. Lineage: Bacteria; Pseudomonadati; Pseudomonadota; Gammaproteobacteria; Enterobacterales; Enterobacteriaceae. The record is from RNAcentral.